CAAUUUUGGUUUUUGUUGCCAUUGUUUUGGAACGAUACAGAGAAGAUUAGCAUGGCCCCUGAGCAAGGAUGACAUGCAAAUUCGUGAAGAGUUCCAUAUUUUU
This is a small nuclear RNA of Pongo abelii (Sumatran orangutan), 103 nucleotides long. NCBI's taxonomy places the organism in Eukaryota, Metazoa, Chordata, Mammalia, Primates, Hominidae. The record is from Ensembl.